UACCUACGGGAGGCAGCAGUGGGGAAUAUUGCACAAUGGGGGAAACCCUGAUGCAGCGACGCCGCGUGAGUGAAGAAGUAUUUCGGUACGUAAAGCUCUAUCAGCAGGGAAGAAAAAAAGUCCUUUGGACUUUGGACGGUACCUGACCAAGAAGCCCCGGCUAACUACGUGCCAGCAGCCGCGGUAAUACGUAGGGGGCAAGCGUUAUCCGGAUUCACUGGGUGUAAAGGGAUCGUAGACGGCGCGACAAGUCUGGAGUGAAAGGC
This 266-nucleotide ribosomal RNA is filed under the name uncultured bacterium. RNAcentral's name for it is "partial 16S ribosomal RNA". It matches the Rfam family "Bacterial small subunit ribosomal RNA", at positions 335 to 602 of the family's 1533-position model. The record is from RNAcentral.